CUCGCCUCUGUGGGACCAAGGAAGGAUGGGAAGGAAAGCUGAAGGGCCAGCAGAAGGAGGGCCUUAAGCUCCUAGCAGUUAGAGGUGAAACUGGCCCUAGCGAGGGGGCGUGGCCAAGCUCAAAUCCCGACGAGGGGGCGGGGCUCCAAUAACUGGGUCUCAGCGCCGCGGUGGCUGCGGCUGUCUCAGCAACGGCUCGCGCCUCCCCAUCCCCCAGUUCCCAGGGCUCUUCCCGCCUGCCGCGGUGCAGACCCAGGACGAAGGCGGAGAAGCCCGGUCCAGCCCGGUCCUCCGCCCGCACGGCUGGAGCAUCGUUCCGGAGGACUGCCCGAAGGCAAGCCUCGCAGCCGGAGAGCGCGGCGCACACGCGCGCCUCCCGGCCGCGGCCGUCCUCUCUUCCCUCCUUCCUCUCCUCUCCCCCUCCCCUCUCCUCCGCCCCCAGCCUCCGCUGCGGCGGGAGGAAGAACCCUUCCCGACUAGCCCAGAGAACCCAGGUCGAUUCUCAUUCCGGGAGAAAGAGACCCCCCUCGGUGGGAUCCGGCUGGCCGCUCGCCCCCGGCUACGGAAGUGACUGGUCAUCUAUUAGGAGAGCUCGUGCCUAGCGCAGCCCCCGACCCUCGCCUAGCCGCAGCCGCAUAGACAGCGCUCCCCAGCGGGCCCCCGGCCCCGCCGAGCCCACUCCCCGCUUGGGGCCAGGGCUGGCGAUGCCUGGCGCGGCAACGGCGGUGGCCGCGGCUGCUGCUGCUGCUGCCGCCACGGCUGCUGGCCGGAGCCCGGGUCGGGGGCUCGAGUCUCCGCAGUGGGGCUGAGCCCGCAGCCCCGCCCCCCGAGCCUGAGGCCGCUGCUCCGCCGGGCGCCGGGCCUUCUCCGCCCGCGCCUCCGCCCCAGGAACUGGAGCCAAGCGGGGAGCCCGGGCCCCGCGCCCAGGCCCGGACCAUGCAUGGCCACCGAGUCCCGGGGGGCCCUGGGCCUUCGGAUCCCGAACGCUCAGCGGCAAAUACCCCCGGUGCCGCUCCGCUGGCCUGUGCCGACUCGGACCCUGGAGCCUUGGAACCCGGGCUGCCGGUGAGCAGGGGCUCAGGCACGGCUCUUGGAGGCCCUUUGGAUCCUCAGUUUGUUGGACCCUCGGAUGCCAGCCUGGGAGCGCCUCCAAGCUCCCGGGUCUUACCCUGCGGCCCUAGUCCUCAGCACCACCGGGCCCUGCGCUUCUCCUACCACCUGGAGGGCUCGCAGCCUCGGCCUGGACUGCACCAGGGAAACCGGAUCCUGGUUAAAAGUUUGUCCCUUGACCCUGGCCAGAGCCUUGAGCCUCAUCCAGAAGGUCCCCAACGGCUUCGCUCAGAUCCAGGCCCUCCCACUGAAAUCCCUGGCCCACGUCCUUCACCACUGAAGCGGGCACCGGGCCCAAAGCCACAGGUUCCCCCAAAGCCCAGCUACCUGCAGAUGCCCCGGGUGCUUCCUCCUCCUGAGCCCAUUCCUCCACCACCAUCACGCCCUCUGCCUGCAGACCCUAGAGUGGCCAAGGGACUCGUCCCCAGAGCUGAGGCCAGCACUAGUUCUGCAGCAGUAUCAUCAUUGAUUGAGAAGUUUGAAAGAGAGCCUGUGAUUGUUGCCUCGGAUAGGCCAGCCCCUGGCCCCUGCCCAGUUCCCCCAGAGCCAGCCAUGUUGCCACAGCCACCCCCGCAGCCAACAGGGUCCCAGCUCCCUGAGGGUGAAGCUUCUCGCUGCCUGUUCCUGCUGGCUCCUGGGCCCCGGGAUGGUGAGAAGGUGCCUAACCGGGACAGCGGCAUUGACAGCAUCAGCUCGCCAUCCAACAGUGAAGAGACCUGCUUCGUCAGUGAUGAUGGGCCCCCCAUCCACAGCCUCUGUCCUGGGCCCCCCGCCCUGGCUAGUAUGCCAGUAGCUUUGGCCGACCCCCACCGGCCUGGCUCCCAGGAGGUUGACAGUGACCUGGAAGAGGAAGAGGAAGAAGAAGAGGAGGAAAAGGAAAGAGAAAUUCCAGUGCCCCCGAUGGAGAGACAGGAGUCUGUGGAGCUGACUGUGCAGCAGAAGGUGUUCCAUAUUGCCAAUGAGCUCCUGCAAACUGAGAAGGCCUAUGUUUCCAGGCUCCAUCUCCUGGAUCAGGUAUUCUGUGCCCGGCUGCUGGAAGAAGCUCGGAACCGCAGUUCCUUCCCCGCAGAUGUUGUCCACGGCAUCUUCUCUAACAUCUGCUCCAUCUAUUGCUUCCACCAGCAGUUCCUGCUGCCUGAGCUAGAGAAGCGCAUGGAGGAAUGGGACCGCUACCCACGCAUUGGUGACAUUCUUCAGAAGUUGGCACCCUUCCUCAAGAUGUAUGGCGAGUAUGUGAAAAACUUCGACCGGGCGGUAGAGCUGGUCAACACAUGGACAGAGCGGUCUACCCAGUUUAAAGUCAUCAUCCAUGAAGUACAGAAGGAGGAAGCCUGUGGCAACCUGACCUUGCAGCACCACAUGCUGGAGCCCGUGCAGCGUAUCCCCCGCUAUGAACUUCUUCUCAAGGACUAUCUGUUAAAGCUGCCUCAUGGCUCCCCGGACAGCAAGGAUGCCCAGAAGUCUUUGGAGCUGAUAGCCACAGCAGCAGAACACUCUAAUGCUGCCAUCCGGAAAAUGGAACGAAUGCACAAGCUGCUGAAGGUGUAUGAGCUGCUAGGGGGUGAGGAGGACAUUGUCAGUCCCACCAAAGAGCUCAUAAAGGAAGGCCAUAUCCUUAAGCUGUCAGCAAAGAAUGGGACCACUCAAGAUCGAUACCUCAUAUUAUUCAACGACCGCCUCCUUUACUGCGUGCCCAGGCUGCGGCUCCUUGGUCAGAAGUUUAGCGUGCGGGCACGCAUUGAUGUAGAUGGCAUGGAGCUAAAGGAGAGCUCCAACCUCAACAUGCCUCGGACCUUCCUGGUGUCAGGAAAGCAGCGCUCUCUCGAACUGCAGGCCAGGCCAUCAAUUCCACCCUCCUGAAGCAUGAACAGACCCUGGAGACUUUCAAACUGUUGAACUCAACAAACAGGGAUGAUGAAGAUACUCCCCCUAACUCUCCAAACGUGGAUCUUGGGAAGAGGGCACCUACGCCUAUCCGGGAAAAGGAAGUCACCAUGUGCAUGCGCUGCCAGGAGCCCUUCAAUUCCAUCACCAAACGCAGGCACCACUGCAAGGCCUGUGGGCAUGUGGUUUGUGGGAAAUGCUCUGAGUUCCGAGCCCGACUCAUCUAUGACAACAAUCGUUCCAACCGUGUGUGCACUGAUUGCUAUGUGGCCUUGCAUGGAGCACCUGGGAGCAGUCCAGCCUGUAGCCAGCAUACACCCCAGCGCAGGAGGUCCAUCCUAGAGAAACAGGCCUCGGUCGCUGCUGAGAACAGCGUCAUCUGCAGCUUCCUGCACUACAUGGAGAAGGGUGGGAAAGGAUGGCACAAGGCAUGGUUUGUGGUUCCUGAGAAUGAACCCUUGGUGCUGUACAUCUAUGGAGCCCCUCAGGAUGUGAAAGCCCAGCGCAGCCUGCCCCUCAUUGGCUUUGAGGUGGGGCCUCCUGAGGCAGGAGAGCGGCCAGACAGGAGGCAUGUCUUCAAGAUCACACAAAGCCACCUAAGCUGGUACUUCAGCCCAGAGACAGAAGAACUCCAGCGGCGCUGGAUGGCUGUUCUCGGCAGGGCGGGCCGUGGGGACACAUUCUGCCCAGGGCCCACACUGUCUGAGGACAAGGAGAUGGAGGAGACACCAGUGGCAGCCUCAGGAGCCACUGCUGAACCUCCUGAAGCCUCCCAGACCCGAGACAAGACCUAGAGGGUUUGGGGGGAACUGGGAGUUUCUGCCCCACACUCCAGCUGCCCAUGUUCAAUUGGGGGCUCCAGCCCACUCCCAAUGCAGUCAAUACUUGAAUUCCCAUCAAGGGCACUUUCAAUCCCGAAUGCUGGGUCAUGGGUUUUUUAAUUCAUCUUUUCACAAAAGGUGGGCUUUUUAAAAAAAAAAAAAAAACUAUUCCUACAUUGAUGUUAAUUUUUUAAAUCCCUGUCCCCAGGGAGGGCGGGAGCUAAUUGCUAGACUCACUUGAAUUAGUUUCCUCCCAGUACCCCACUUCCACCCAGCUCCCCACAAAAGUACCAGAGGCAGGAGACCUGGAUUCAAGUGCCAGCUCUGCUACUGACCCUGGGACCCCAACCCACCCUUUCCUCCUCAGCCAGUGUCUUCACAUGUAUGACCUUACAUGGGGUGGUGACUAGACCCUUCUUGCCUUUCCCAUGGCUUAUAGCUUCUACCUAGCCCCAAAGCAAUCCAGUAUUUUAUCGUCCAGAUCCAUGGCAGGGCCACUGGGCAGGACGGGAAUGGGGGAGGGGGGGGGAGGACAAUGGAUACUGUUUUUUAAAGAAAAAUACAGUUUAUUUCAGGCAUACAGUAA
Mus musculus (house mouse) is the source of this 4401-nucleotide RNA transcript. It is a transcript of the gene named FYVE, RhoGEF and PH domain containing 1, with no coding region annotated. The transcript has 17 exons. The record is from RefSeq and is marked reviewed. NCBI's taxonomy places the organism in Eukaryota, Metazoa, Chordata, Mammalia, Rodentia, Muridae.